CGGGAAUUUUGGGCAAUGGGCGAAAGCCUGACCCAGCAACGCCGCGUGAGGGAUGAAGUAUUUCGGUAUGUAAACCUCGAAAGAAUGGGAAGAAUAAAUGACGGUACCAUUUAUAAGCUCCGGCUAACUACGUGCCAGCAGCCGCGGUAAUACGUAGGGAGCAAGCGUUGUUCGGAUUUACUGGGCGUAAAGGGCGCGUAGGCGGCGCGGUAAGUCACUUGUGAAAUCUCUGAGCUUAACUCAGAACGGCCAAGUGAUACUGCUGUGCUAGAGUGCGGAAGAGGCAACCGGAAUUCUUGGUGUAGCGGUGAAAUGCGUAGAUAUCAAGAGGAACACCCGAGACGAAGGCGGGUUGCUGGGCCGACACUGACGCUGAUGCGCGAAAGCCAGGGGAGCAAACG
RNAcentral lists this ribosomal RNA (401 nucleotides) under uncultured bacterium. Its description in RNAcentral is "bacterial SSU rRNA". It matches the Rfam family "Bacterial small subunit ribosomal RNA", at positions 356 to 774 of the family's 1533-position model. The record is from RNAcentral.